This is a long non-coding RNA of Scleropages formosus (Asian bonytongue), 352 nucleotides long. RefSeq lists it as uncharacterized. The transcript is spliced from 3 exons. The record is from RefSeq and is a predicted model, not a curated record. NCBI's taxonomy places the organism in Eukaryota, Metazoa, Chordata, Actinopteri, Osteoglossiformes, Osteoglossidae.
UUGCAUCCACAGCUAAGGACUGAGAAAUCAAUGUUGAGAGAGUGAUGAUCCAUGGGAGCAGGACUGAGUCCUCAACUGAGUCUCGACACCUGGGAAGGAAGACAGAAGGGGCAAAGAGAGACACACCCCAGGAGCUGGGAGAAAGACACACUGUUGGCGCUAAGCACAAAACUGCAGAAACCCGCCUCAGGUGUUUCACUGGCAUUGCUUAGGAAACACCUUCAGACAAGGUUUCAAUCAUCACAUCUGCAAAGAUUGCUCCAUGUACUCCAUCCCCACUGUCAAGUUUCUCUUUUUGCUCAAUAUUACACAAUUCAGUUGGAUCCCCACCUUAAAGACCUUUCUAUCGCUG